CCUGCACACACCUUCUUGCCUGCUGCCACAAAGACGUGUCUUGCUUCCCCUUCGCCAUCUGCCUUGAUUGUGAGGCCUCCCCAGCCACGUGGAACAACUUUGCUGCUCUAUUGCCAAACUACUCAUAUCCCCCUGUUACUGUGAAACUUGGUGAAAUUCCUCAGGGAUUUUGAGACAUCAAAGCAAAAAAGGAAAUGAAGCAAGAAUGAGCAGUAGUGGCUGUCUAUUGUGCUGGUUCAUCAUCAGAAACUUAAUUACAU
Molecule: long non-coding RNA, 260 nt
Filed under: Homo sapiens (human)
Lineage: Eukaryota; Metazoa; Chordata; Mammalia; Primates; Hominidae
Description: HSALNT0316256
Source: RNAcentral